Molecule: ribosomal RNA, 441 nt
Filed under: uncultured bacterium
Lineage: Bacteria
Description: partial 16S ribosomal RNA
Rfam family: Bacterial small subunit ribosomal RNA
Source: RNAcentral
CUACGGGUGGCUGCAGUGAGGAAUCUUGGACAAUGGGCGAAAGCCUGAUCCAGCGACGCCGCGUGGGUGACGAAGGCCUUCGGGUUGUAAAGCCCUGUCAGAGGGGAAGAAGUUCUGACGGUACCCUCAGAGAAAGCACAGGCUAACUCCGUGCCAGCAGCCGCGGUAAUACGGAGUGUGCAGGCGUUGCUCGGAAUCACGGGGCGUAAAGGGCGCGUAGGCGGCUUGGUAAGUUGGAUGUGAAAGCCCUCGGCUCAACCGAGGAACUGCAUCCAAAACUGCCUGGCUAGAGUACGGAAGAGGAAGGCGGAAUUCCCAGUGUAGGGGUGAAAUCCGUAGAUAUUGGGAAGAACACCAGUGGCGAAGGCGGCCUUCUGGGACGAUACUGACGCUGAGGCGCGAAAGCGUGGGGAGCAAACAGGAUUAGAUACCCCCGUAGUC